GAUGAACGCUGGCGGCGUGCUUAAUACAUGCAAGUCGAGCGAACAGACGCGUUGCUUGCUACUCUGACGUUAACGGCGGAAGGAUGAGUAACAUGUGGAUCACUUACCUAUAAGACUGGGAUAACUUACGGAAACCGGUGCCAAUACCGGAUCAUAUCUUCAACCGCAUGGUUCAAUAGUGUAAGACGGUUUUGCUGUACUUUCUGCAUGGAUCCGAGGCGCAUUAGCUAGUUGGUAAGGUAACGGCUUACCAAGGCAGCGAUGGGUAGCCGACCUGCGAGGGGGAUCGGCCACGCUGGAACUGAGAGGCGGCCCAGGGACCGAGGUGAGGCAGCAGUAGGGAAUGUUCCGCGAUGGGCGGAAGCUUGACGGAGCAGCGCCGCGUGGGUGAUGAAGGGCUGCGGGUCGGAAGACGCUGUUAGGAGUGAAGAACAAAUUUGGAAGGAACGAUGCACGUCUUGACGGUACCUGAACAGAAAGCCACGGCUAACUACGUG
Molecule: ribosomal RNA, 497 nt
Filed under: uncultured bacterium
Lineage: Bacteria
Description: partial 16S ribosomal RNA
Rfam family: Bacterial small subunit ribosomal RNA
Source: RNAcentral